CCCCAACAAAAAACAUUCUCAGCUCUUCUGUCCGUUCUUUCUCUUCCCAUCAGCCCCGACGUUUCUUCCGACGUUUCUUCCGUCCGUUUCUUCCGACGUUUCUUCCGUCCGUUUCUUCCGACGUUUCUUUCUUCUGUCCGUUCUUUGUAAGCCCAUCGUCCCCGCAACAAAAAGCUUCUCUUCUGUCCGUUCUUUUUUAAUCCAUCGGCCCUUCUGUCCGUUCUUUGUAAAUCCGUCGGCCCCGCAUUCUCAGGCUUCUCUUCUGUAAGGUAACGGCUU
RNAcentral lists this long non-coding RNA (279 nucleotides) under Erythranthe guttata (spotted monkey flower). Its description in RNAcentral is "long non-coding RNA (EGUT_LNC000042)". The record is from RNAcentral. Lineage: Eukaryota; Viridiplantae; Streptophyta; Magnoliopsida; Lamiales; Phrymaceae.